Molecule: ribosomal RNA, 272 nt
Filed under: Yersinia enterocolitica
Lineage: Bacteria; Pseudomonadati; Pseudomonadota; Gammaproteobacteria; Enterobacterales; Yersiniaceae
Description: partial 16S ribosomal RNA
Rfam family: Bacterial small subunit ribosomal RNA
Source: RNAcentral
AAGUGAAGCGAACUCGCGAGAGCAAGCGGACCACAUAAAGUCUGUCGUAGUCCGGAUUGGAGUCUGCAACUCGACUCCAUGAAGUCGGAAUCGCUAGUAAUCGUAGAUCAGAAUGCUACGGUGAAUACGUUCCCGGGCCUUGUACACACCGCCCGUCACACCAUGGGAGUGGGUUGCAAAAGAAGUAGGUAGCUUAACCUUCGGGAGGGCGCUUACCACUUUGUGAUUCAUGACUGGGGUGAAGUCGUAACAAGGUAACCGUAGGGGAACCU